UGAGGAAUAUUGGUCAAUGGGCGAGAGCCUGAACCAGCCAAGUAGCGUGCAGGAUGACGGCCCUAUGGGUUGUAAACUGCUUUUAUGUGGGGAUAAAGUGCGUGACGUGUCAUGCAUUGCAGGUACCACAUGAAUAAGGACCGGCUAAUUCCGUGCCAGCAGCCGCGGUAAUACGGAAGGUCCGGGCGUUAUCCGGAUUUAUUGGGUUUAAAGGGAGCGUAGGCUGUCUAUUAAGCGUGUUGUGAAAUUUACCGGCUCAACCGGUGGCUUGCAGCGCGAACUGGUCGACUUGAGAAUGCAGGAAGUAGGCGGAAUUCAUGGUGUAGCGGUGAAAUGCUUAGAUAUCAUGACGAACUCCGAUUGCGCAGGCAGCUUACUGUAGCAUAACUGACGCUGAUGCUCGAAAGUGCGGGUAUCAAACAGG
This 424-nucleotide ribosomal RNA is filed under the name Fusobacteriota bacterium. Its description in RNAcentral is "Fusobacteria bacterium partial 16S ribosomal RNA". It matches the Rfam family "Bacterial small subunit ribosomal RNA", at positions 355 to 776 of the family's 1533-position model. Lineage: Bacteria; Fusobacteriati; Fusobacteriota. The record is from RNAcentral.